GCCUACGGGGGGCAGCAGUCGGGAAUAUUGCACAAUGGAGGAAACUCUGAUGCAGUGACACCGCGUAUAGGAAGAAGGUUUUCGGAUUGUAAACUAUUUUAGACAGGGAAGAAAAAAGACAGUACCUGUAGAAUAAGCUCCGGCUAACUACGUGCCAGCAGCCGCGGUAAUACGUAGGGGGCAAGCGUUAUCCGGAUUUACUGGGUGUAAAGGGAGCGUAGACGGCAGAGCAAGUCUGAAGUGAAAGCCCGCGGCCCAACCGCGGGACUGCAUUGGGAACUGGCGCGCUGGAGUGCCGGAGGGGG
Molecule: ribosomal RNA, 305 nt
Filed under: uncultured bacterium
Lineage: Bacteria
Description: bacterial SSU rRNA
Rfam family: Bacterial small subunit ribosomal RNA
Source: RNAcentral